Molecule: long non-coding RNA, 1951 nt
Organism: Lolium perenne
Lineage: Eukaryota; Viridiplantae; Streptophyta; Magnoliopsida; Poales; Poaceae
Source: RefSeq, a predicted model, not a curated record
UGCGGCCCCAUUUCAUCGCUUUCUUCCCCAAUUACCAUCUCGCGUGCCGACGCCCCCGUCUUCACCGCCGCCGUCUCCUGCCCUCCAUGCCGGCGCAUCCUAUGCCCUAGCGCCGGCUGCUGCUUCUACCAUGGACGGAUUCAAUUCACCGCGCGUAUUCGUCCAUCUACAUCUCAAGGGAGGACACGGUUUGGAGAUCCUCCGCAAAGCAUAUUCGAGGUGUCUUCCGACGAUUCGAAGCAGACUGGGAUCGCCACGAACGAGAUUGGUGGGAAGGUCCGGACAUUCGCGCUGGCCUAAGCGGUGCACAAGGCGGCCUCACUGAUAAGGUUCCCACCAACUGUGGCCUUGACGACAAUUGUGGCCAACUGGAUAGGAAAGAUCACGAAGGAGACGACUUGCUCUGGUUUUUGCUCAAGAUUACGAAACCGUCGCGGCCUUGUGAAAUGAUGUGCUCAUUGUGGUGCAACCAAUUGUUGGGUUCAUUGAAGUUGUGAUGUUCUCGAUCAUCUGCUGCUGGAUUGCCAUAGAAUAAAACUAUAGAUGUAUAUUAGCAUGGGCUGGCCUAGGCAUGGCUCCUCCUGCUCCUCGAGGCGACAACGGCGACCACGCGCUCAACGACCCUGGUCCCCGCCCCCAUCGUUAUCCUCCGUGCUGCCGCGACCCAGCCCACCUCCUCCUCCAUCGUCGUCUCAUAGGUCGACGAGGAGGGCUUGGCUGGUGCACCCUUAGGCCCGCACUUCCGCGCCACUUCUUCUCCAGCUCCAACAUGGAGGUCAGCUAGGAGGGAUCAACCAAUGUGACAUUGCCCCGCUGGCGGCCAAGGGCAUGAUAUGAACGGAAUCUAGGUCAGAGACAGCUAGAGUCGCUUUGAUGAGAAGUUGAGGGCGCAGGUACAAGGCAGCAGUAGUAGCAGCUUAGCCUCCUCCUAAUGUUGUAGCAAGUCACGGUGGCGGCGGCGGCCCAUGUCCCAGUGUUUGUUGAGCGCAAAGGGCGCGUUCUCCGUUUUCUUUUGGAAAAUGGAAAGGUUAGUUGUCCAGUCUGUGCUCAUGUUGUCCUCAUCUGAGAUCAAGUAUCAUGUAUUCUUCAGCGAACUCGUUCUUCAAAGGUAGAGGAAGCAAUUCCAGAUUUUCCGGUGAUACAAAAAUUUGGUUACGGUUGUCGGCAGCACUUGCAAAGUGAUGAUGAGAGGACCUUUGAAAUUCCUGAACCGUGAUGAGCUUUAAGAGUUAAUUUUACAGCACUAUAUCUGCAGUAUACAGUAAUAUCAAUAAUUAUGUUACUACAAAGGAUCUACUCUGGGAGGGAGCGGAACUGCAUAGGCAAAAGUGUAGCAGUUCAAAUUUAGAUUCACUACUUCGUUCAUAAUUUUUCCGCUAAAACACCUCUGGAGAUACCACAAUCGUUGAUGUUGCUCAACCGGGAGACAUGCAUCUGCCAUUCAUCACGCACCAUCGGAUGGAAGCUAACGCCAGUAUUCAUUGGAUUCAUCGCUCCUAUACGCAGUGCAGCGCCUCGGGACGAGAAAUGUCUAGGAGGGAAGAAGAAGGCCAAGAGGACCAGACCAAGAAGUGUUGGUAAUCGAAGGGCCCUUCCGAUGUAGAUGUGCUGUCUAUUCCGUCGUGAUCACGAUGAGCUACUAAGUCCUAUUGUGGUGGUUCUGGAGAUGGAGUUGGCUUGAGGCUGCAAUGCAGAGGAGCAUGACGAGCUGCCGAGGAGCGGAGAGCUGCAGAGGAUCAUUGCGAGGUGCCGUGAAGCCAGCUAGAUGGCUAGGUGAAGGUUUCUACAGUGAAGUUGUUUCGAUUAUCAACUAGUUUGGAUUUUCUGUGUUUGUUUGAGUUAUAUCUAUGUACUUUUAUUAGAAGAUGAUGUUUUAUGCUUUUGUUGUUUCUGAAAUAUGCUUUUGUUGUUUCUGAAGACAGUUUAUUGUUUAGUAGAAUUUUCAGAUUAU